Acanthopagrus latus (yellowfin seabream) is the source of this 363-nucleotide long non-coding RNA. RefSeq lists it as uncharacterized. NCBI's taxonomy places the organism in Eukaryota, Metazoa, Chordata, Actinopteri, Spariformes, Sparidae. The transcript has 2 exons. The record is from RefSeq and is a predicted model, not a curated record.
GAAAAGGGUCUACUCAGUCCACUGAAUAAUACAUUUCAUCUCUAACAUCACUCUGUGACAGGGCUCUACAACCUUGGACAUGGGUGUCAGCACAAUGAUGUAUAAAGCUGCAGGCAGCGGCCCACUGGGACGAAGAAGUCAAGAAACACUGAGACAUACACGGUUGAAGAUGGCGCAGAUGUUGAAGACAGGCUGGUGCAAGAAACGUGGAUCAAAUUAGACAGUGUGAGAAUAGUGAGGUUACUGCUGGAUCUGCCGAGAGUAAAGCAAGUUAACUCAGAUUUGGACACAUCGUCUACCCGAGUUAUAAGAUGAUUAAGUACACAUGAUGCAAUUUUAAUACAGCUGCCUGCAAUAAACAAA